UCGAGGAUCUUCCGCAAUGGGCGAAAGCCUGACGGAGCGACACCGCGUGCAGGACGAAGGCCCUCGGGUUGUAAACUGCUGUCACGCUCUAGGAAUGCCAUGUCGUUAAUAGCGGCAUGGUUGACCAAGGCGAAAGGAAGUGGCGGCUAACUCUGUGCCAGCAGCCGCGGUAAGACAGAGGCCACGAACGUUGUUCGGAAUCACUGGGCAUAAAGCGCACGUAGGCGGCUAGGUCCGUCCAAUGUGAAAGCCCCCGGCUCAACCGGGGAAUUGCAUCGGAUACAGCCUGGCUUGAGGACGGUUGGGGUGAGUGGAACUCCUGGUGGAGCGGUGAAAUGCGCAGAUAUUAGGAAGAACACCGGUGGCGAAGGCGGCUCUCUGGAACGAUACUGACACUGAGACGCGAAAGCGUGGGUAGCGAACAGGAUUAGAUACCCGAGUAGUCCCUGAGCGGGCUGGCAAGGCGCAU
Molecule: ribosomal RNA, 469 nt
Filed under: uncultured bacterium
Lineage: Bacteria
Description: bacterial SSU rRNA
Rfam family: Bacterial small subunit ribosomal RNA
Source: RNAcentral